GAGAGAGAGAGGAACAUCUAUGUGAGAGUGAACCACUGAUCAGCACGUGCCCGACUGGGGAUUGAACCCACAACCUGGGUAUGUGCCCUGACCAGGACUCGAACCAGAGACCUCUCAGUGUGUGGGCUGAUGCUCUAACCAACUGAGCCACACUGGCCAGGGUGCACACAUUUUCUUUUAAGUCAAGGUGGAUUGACAGGAGUGGGUAUUUAAAGAACGGUUUAAGAAGCUUUGUUUUAUUCUCACUUUCCUCUGCUUACCUGUCGUAUACCUCCUCGUCCAUCCAUUUGACUGGUAAAGGGACAGUUUUGUUAUUCUGGCAAAAUGCAACCACAAGAUCAGGAACUCAUUGUCACCCUGCUUUGUGUGUGAAGUAUUUUAAAGUGUUGUUAAGUUGAGAUAAUAUACUUGGCAGAUACAGCCAUUUGGAGUUAGUGAAGAUAAGUUUUAUGAUGGCCCUAUAUCUCAGUCAAAGGAAAAAAAUAAGUCUUUCAAGUGUUGUAAAUAGAAAAGGUUAUAACAAAAUAGAAAAGGAUGAUGUUAUUUAUUGCCAACAGGUCAGUCCGAGGCUUAACCCUAUAUCGGUUCCCCACAAAUAGUCUUUUCAAAAGUGGUGCUGGGACAAUGGAUAGUUAUGUGGAAAAUAAUUAAGUGGGACCACUUCCAUUUAUUGUACAGAAAAUAACUUAAAAAGGCUCAUGAAUCUAAGUGCAGAAAUGUGUUAUAGUCAUACAACAUAAUAUUCAGCUAUAUAAAGGAAUGAAGUACUGACAGAAACUACAACCUGGAUGAAACUUGAAAACAUUAUGUGAAAUGAAGGAAGCCCGUCACAAAAGGCCACAUAUUGUAUGAUUGUAUUUACAUGAAUUGUCCAGAAUAGGCAAAUCCGUAGCGACAGAAAGUGGAUUCGCGGUUGUUAGGACCCGGGAGGGCGUGGGGAAUGGGGAAUUUCUGCUAAUGAACAUAAACGUUUCUUUCAGGAGUCAAUGAAAUGUUCUAAAUUUAGAUAGUGAUGUUGGUUUUACAAGUCUGAUAUACAAAAAACCACUGAACUGGACACUGAAGAGAUGAAUUUUAUGUUGGCAGGAAAGAUUAUUGGUGGCUGAGCCAGAGGCCUGGAGAAGAAAAAGCGCCCGGUUUGAGCAACCAGUAGUUCCUGUCUGGCUACAGACACAAGAAAAGAAGCAGCCAAAUUUUAGUUAAGAAACUGCAAGGGAGGUUGCUCCAUUUGGAACAAAACAGGAAGAAAACAGUUUCAUCUUUGGCUGCCACAACCCGGCUCUGUCCACUCUGGAAAUACUACUGUAAAAGCCUAAGGUAUAGCACCAGCACUGGACAUGGCAGCGAAUAAGUAAACUAUGCUUCUCAGUGUAUGUCGUAGUAUCCAAUGUUGAAUUGAAGGAUUUCUAUUGGACUGUUUGUAGCGUGGACCCUAAGAAAGAACAUACCUACAAAAAAAAGGCUCCCAGUGGCUACCUGGGCUCAAAUUAAAAACAAACAAAAGAACACCAGAACCUAGGAGCCAUUCCUACGCAGGGGCCUCCCUUACAAACUGCACUUCAGGGAGAAGUCUGCACUGAACUGCCUGCCUGCGCUGUAUUUCCGCCAGCUGAGCCAAUCCUCACAAAGGAGUUCCUGGAAUCCUAUUUCCACCAGUAGGACUGAGGCUUUCCCCAUUUAAUCAGAGCUACACACCUGUAUCCCAAUCAGCUUCUUCACUGACCAAAGUGACUCCACUCUGAGCUAUCUGGACAGUGCCUUUGGGACCAAUCAAAUUGUGUGGAUUUGGAGUCUUCAUUUGCAUGAGGACAGACCAAUCAGGGAACAGGGCGGGGACCUCUGUCUAUAUAAGUCAGCUCUCCUCUCUGAGGGUGCACUUUCCCUUUUCACUAAAGAGUGUUUCCCUGCUGUUGUGUUGUUUUUGUUUUGUUUUUCUGGAGCAGACCAGCAUGGAACAGAGCUGUCUGGCUGGAGAGGAGCCUGGCCUCAGAGCUGUCUCACAGUUCUGCUGUAGUUGUAUUACAACUGAGCUAUAUUACAACUGAGCUGUUUUGCACUGAAUAGAGUUUCCGUCUUCACCAUGUCACAAUGUGGGGGUUCCUGUUGGCCUUGAAUUGGCACCAAAGACCCAUCAGUUGACUAUUUUUAGAAAAAGCUUAAAAACCAGGCCCUAGUAAAUGUGUGAGAAUACUGUCUGGCAUUGCAAUAUAAUAGAACUAUGCGGUAUUCACGGAUUUCAUGUGCACUGUUCCACUUGAUACUCAAAUCUGUUAAAAAGAAGAAGGGUAGGGCAAGUAUUAUCUUCAUUUUGCCGAUGAGACUAGUGAGAUUUGGGUAGGUUAAAUGAUUCCUUCAAGUUCACAUUGCUAGUAAGCUGAAAAGUCAGCUUGGGAGCCUCGCUGUUACUUCUGAUUGGAUGUUUUUUCCUAAUAGCCCUACUGAAACAGGAAGGUCUGACUUUGUAGGGGCAGCUGCCUCUGUCUGUGCAUAAACAAUAAGGCAGCCAAGAACUGUUAGGUUUUCUCUUUUUAAAAUUUUAAUAAACCAUCACUGUGCUUAUUAUCAA
This is a long non-coding RNA of Myotis myotis, 2566 nucleotides long. RefSeq lists it as uncharacterized. The transcript is spliced from 4 exons. Lineage: Eukaryota; Metazoa; Chordata; Mammalia; Chiroptera; Vespertilionidae. The record is from RefSeq and is a predicted model, not a curated record.